Molecule: ribosomal RNA, 253 nt
Filed under: uncultured bacterium
Lineage: Bacteria
Description: partial 16S ribosomal RNA
Rfam family: Bacterial small subunit ribosomal RNA
Source: RNAcentral
UACGGAAGAGGCUAGCGUUGUUCGGAAUUACUGGGCGUAAAGAGCGCGUAGGCGGCUUACCAAGUUGGGGGUGAAAUCACGGAGCUCAACUCCGGAACUGCCUUCAAAACUGGUAGGCUCGAGUCCGGAAGAGGGGCGUGGAAUUCCCAGUGUAGAGGUGAAAUUCGUAGAUAUUGGGAAGAACACAGGUUGCGAAGGCGGCGCCAUGGCCCGGUACUGACGCUGAGGCGCGAAAGCGUGGGGAGCAAACAGG